This 372-nucleotide unclassified non-coding RNA is filed under the name Hevea brasiliensis (rubber tree). Lineage: Eukaryota; Viridiplantae; Streptophyta; Magnoliopsida; Malpighiales; Euphorbiaceae. The record is from RNAcentral.
AUGGACAGGCACAUUUGAUUCCUCCUCAAUGCCCAGACUGUUGGUGCUAAAGUAAUCUCUGUUUACUCCAUUUAUAUUUCCUGCUCCGUAAAUCUGGGAUUUGCAAAUUAUCAAUUGAAGAUAGAUUAAAAAAUCUGUCAAUUUCUUGGAGAACUUAGGAUUGAUGAUUUGCUUCAUCCUUGCAAGGAUAAUUGGAGAUUUCAUUACUUAUACAAACAUCUACCUUCUUACACAUUUCGAUGUUUGCUUGACAAAUUAAGUUUACCUUCUUACAGAGUUCCACAUUUUCUUGGUGAAGGAAGUUUCCCUGAAAUAAAACAAGAAAGUUUAGCUACUUGAAUUGGAGUACUGUGAAAGGAAAAUUAGUGGCCA